GCCGAUGUAGCUCAGUUGGUAGAGCGCAUCCAUGGUAAGGAUGAGGUCACCAGUUCGAACCUGGUCAUUGGCU
This 73-nucleotide transfer RNA is filed under the name Bacteroidota bacterium. RNAcentral describes it as "Bacteroidetes bacterium (activated sludge metagenome) tRNA-Thr". It matches the Rfam family "tRNA". Rfam says of the family: Transfer RNA (tRNA) molecules are approximately 80 nucleotides in length. RNAcentral also lists the same sequence under 1 other name. Lineage: Bacteria; Pseudomonadati; Bacteroidota. The record is from RNAcentral.